RNAcentral lists this long non-coding RNA (983 nucleotides) under Amphibalanus amphitrite. RNAcentral's name for it is "uncharacterized LOC122381940". The record is from RNAcentral. Lineage: Eukaryota; Metazoa; Arthropoda; Thecostraca; Balanomorpha; Balanidae.
UGCGGCCCCCGCCAGCGCCGCUUCGUCUGCGGUCCCCGCCAGCGCCGCUUCGUCUGCGGUGCCGACCAGCGCCGCUUCGUCUGCGGUCCCCGCCAGCGCCGCUUCGUCUGCGGUGCCGACCAGCGCCCUUCUGCAUGGUACCUCGCCUGAUGUAGCCACGCAGGGCGGAGAGUGGAGGGGAUUGUGUUUAUCUAUUGGUCAUCAUGCAUCAGCAGUGUGCGUCCAUCUUGUGCUCCACUGACCUAGGCGCAGUUCCAUGCUGUUCAUUGCCAUGCAGUCCCAUGUUCAAUCCACUCCUGUUCGUCUCCUCAGUCACCCGGAGACCUUGGCCUACUCCUGGUCCUCUACGCCCGCCAGCGCCUCUUCGUCUGCGGCCCCCGCCAGCGCCGCUUCGUCUGCGGUCCCCGCCAGCGCCGCUUUGUCUGCGGUGCCGACCAGCGCCCUUCUGCAUGGCACCUCGCCUGAUGUAGCCACGCAGGGCGGAGAGUGGAGGUGAGCUAUUACUGAUUAGUUUUGUCCAGGUAAAUUUAGAGUAAUCAUACACUCACUUUCUGUCUUUUUGUUAUUUUUGUCAUUGUGUGUCAGACAACUUCACCGAUAACACUGAUACAAUUAUUUUUAGGGAACCUGCUUCUUGUGUUCUCAACUUGUUUCUUUGUUGAAUCAUUUCUCCAUCAUUAUCUUUCUGGACCCAUUUAUAUGAUUUUUUUCUGAAACUGGAUUGCUCUAUUCCAUUGAGUGUACCUAUUGCAAUGCAACUUUGUGCCUACAUAACUCAGCUGUAGGGUGAUACUUGUGCAGUUCAUUAUCUGGAUGUCAUGUGCCGUUUGUAUUAAUUGUCUGCAGGUGAUGAAAGUAUCUUCCAGCGGCCAGUUUAUUAGAUGCGACGAGUCUCUCUCUCUCUCUCUCUCUCUCUCUCUCUCUCUCUCUCUCUCUCUCUCUCUCUCUCUCUCUCUCUCUCUCUCUCUCUCUCUCUCUCUCUC